Molecule: ribosomal RNA, 253 nt
Filed under: uncultured bacterium
Lineage: Bacteria
Description: partial 16S ribosomal RNA
Rfam family: Bacterial small subunit ribosomal RNA
Source: RNAcentral
UACAGGGGGGGCAAGCGUUGUUCGGAUUUACUGGGCGUAAAGGGCGCGUAGGAGGGCAGGUAAGUCAGUGGUGAAAUCUCCAAGCUUAACUUGGAAACUGCCGUUGAUACUAUCUGUCUUGAAUACCGUGGAGGUGAGCGGAAUAUGUCAUGUAGCGGUGAAAUGCUUAGAUAUGACAUAGAACACCAAUUGCGAAGGCAGCUCGCUACACGAAUAUUGACUCUGAGGCACGAAAGCGUGGGGAUCAAACAGG